GGGCCCGCACAAGCGGUGGAGCAUGUGGUUUAAUUCGAUGCAACGCGAAGAACCUUACCAGGGCUUGACAUACUACAAAUUCUUUGGAGACAGAGAAGUGCCUUCGGGAAUGUAGAUACAGGUGGUGCAUGGCUGUCGUCAGCUCGUGUCGUGAGAUGUUGGUUAAGUCCCGCAACGAGCGCAACCCUUAUUUUUAGUUACCAAUUCGUUGGGUUCUCUAGAAAGACUGCCGGUGACAAACCGGAGGAAGGUGAGGAUGACGUCAAGUCAGCAUGCCCCUUAUGUCCUGGCUACACACGUGCUACAAUGGUUAAGACAAAGAGUCGCUAGCUUGCGAAAGUUUGCU
RNAcentral lists this ribosomal RNA (346 nucleotides) under uncultured bacterium. RNAcentral describes it as "bacterial SSU rRNA". It matches the Rfam family "Bacterial small subunit ribosomal RNA", at positions 917 to 1269 of the family's 1533-position model. The record is from RNAcentral.